UUUCCAUUUAGUACUCAAUAUAAGUAAGUUACUUGUUUUUAAUUUUGACCAAUAAAAAGCUUUUUAUCCACAACUUACUUUGAGUAAAAUUUUAAGCUUAUCCACACAUGCAGUUAAACAGUAAAUACUUCUUCUUUCCUUAAAAUUCUUAACUUAAUUUUGUAAUUUCGAUUGCGAUUGCCCUCCAAUAUUACGCCUAUUAUUUCCAUAACUUCUUCCCCCGUCUUCCGAAAGAGAUCUCGAGUAAGAGGUACGUAAAAACAUAAUCAUUCUUAAAAAUAAAUAAAAAUUAUACCAAUGUAUGUAUAGGUUCAUUCUCAUUAUUUUAUAUAUAUAUAUAUUUUUUUUUUUUAUUUUUUAUUUUUUUUUUUUUUUAGAGAAUUAUUGCAAUUUGUGAUAUUCUCAUAUAUUAUUGUCAUAAAUAUGUACUAGUUAUGAACCUGAGAUUUGGAGGUGCCAAGUUAUAGAUGGAAUUAGGGUUAAGUUUUAUCAUAUAAAACAUAUUUAGGUUAAUAGAAAACUCUAUUAUUAAAGGUUGAACCCCAAUCUUGAGGGCCUCACCGCCCCGCCCCUAAAGCAGAAAACCCUAUUAUUAGUUAUCUUGAAGAAUGAGUUUUUUGAUCAGGAUAUGGAGCUCUUAUGCUAAAAAUAAAAUGAAAUUGGAAUUUAAGUUAUAAUUUACAUAAAGUAUUUAGGUCGAAUAGAAAUCUUGAAGAAUAAGUUUUUUAAUUGGAACUCGAAUGCUCACAUAUUAAGAAAAUAAAAAUUGUGAUGCGAAACUUGAACUUGUGCAACUUAUGAAUCUAUCUUUUGAUUAUUAAGAUGGAAACGGGAUUGAAGGAGUAACUACGUAAAGUAUUUAGGUCGAGUACAACCCCACCAUCUAUUAUCUGGAAUAUUGAAUUUUUAGUUGAGAUAGGAGAGCUCCCAUAUAAAAAUGAAAAUUUGUGAGAUUCCUGUGUGCUUGGUUUCCUUAUGAGCUUCUGUUUGUUAAAAUUUUAUUUCUUAACCAUCCAUUUUAAUAAAAUUCACAAGUACUAUUUACUUAUUCAUCAAUUAUUUAUAAAUACUUAAUUUUAACCAUACAUUCAUAUCUCUUUAUAAGAUAGGAUCUGUUUGGCAUGAAUUUUGCUUUUGCUUCCUAUAGAUGAGUUUUUGGAGAAAAUUAUCUUAAUUUUCGUUUGAAAACUAAUUUUUAAAAGAGUCAUCUAUUUCGAAAAUACUUUUAGAGAAAGUCACAUUGAACUAGUUUUCUCUAAAAACUUUUCUAACUAAAAAUUUAAUCUUUUUAAAAUUAUCUAAAAGAAUUCAAAAGUAGAUUUUGAGCUUGAAAAACUCCUUUUGACCUUUCAAAAUCAUGUCAGAUGGGCCGUUAAUGUAUUUUUGUUUCAUUUUAAUGUCAUUUCAAGGCAAAUAAGGAGAAAUAAUGUGGAGUAAUGAAUCCCACAGAAUGUGUCGAAUAACAAGCGAAUAGUUGUUAUAAGUAUGAGGUUAAAAUUAAAGUUUGAUUGAAAAUUAUAAGUAAUUUAUAAUAUUUCCCAAGUAUACUAGUCUUACAUUACAUUUUCCAUUUAUGAAUCUAUCAAUUGGAAAUGACAAGUUAGACGAGGGAAUUGAGUUUAAGGCUGUAGUUAUAUUAAGUAUUUAGGUCAAUUAGGGCUCAGUAUCAUUUUUUGCGAAGAAUGAUUUUUUUUUUUUUUAUCGGAAUAUGAAGGCUCUUAUAUCAAGAAAAUAAAAUAAAAAAAUAAAAAAUAGGCGCCACUAAAAUUAUGUAAAACAAUGCCAACUUAAAAGAAUAGAGUAUUUUCUUUGUUAUGCAACAUAUAAAAAAUAGUAUUAUAGAUUUUGUUUUAACUUGUAUAGUUAACACUACAUAAAAUAGCCUUGUAAUCUUUCUUUUCCCUUCAUGAGUUAGCCACUUGGCCUUUUACUUCUCCUUUGGCUUUGAUUAGGUUCAAUGAAGAACAAAUCUCUGGGAAAUAAGAGAACAAGGGUUAUGAAGUUACUCCUUGUGCUCACACUCAUGGCAGUCUUGUGCACCUCAGUGGCGGCUAAAGGUGGUGGUGGCAGUAGAGGUGGCGGAAGAAGAGGAGGAGGAGGUAGAGGGAGACCAAGAUAUGGAUGGUAUGGUACUGGUGGACAUGGGGGGAACCACUCAAGUGCUUUAUCUCGUUCCACUUUUGCAUGGUAUUCGACGAAAUCUUGCGCAUUGGAUCUUCUCAUGUUCGUUUUAAUAACAUAUAUCUUAUGAUUUAGAGGUACUAAUGUUUUUAAGAAGAUUAGUUAGAAAUAAAAUCUCUUCAUCUUUCUUGCACCUGACUCGAGGAAUAAUUGUCAAGAAUGAAUUGAAUAAUAAAUAUGGGCAUUUCCAUUAUCGUAGCUUCAUAAAAUGAGGCAACAAAAGAUAUUGAAUAACUAUUAUACAAAUUGAAAAAACGGUUUCCUCUGUUACAUGUUCUUUUAAAUAGAUUGUCGACUUUUUUACUGAGAAUACAGUAUCCAAACAAAUCAUGAGUUAAUAGCUCAUUUUACA
This 2533-nucleotide long non-coding RNA is filed under the name Olea europaea (common olive). RNAcentral's name for it is "long non-coding RNA (OEUR_LNC003977)". The record is from RNAcentral. Lineage: Eukaryota; Viridiplantae; Streptophyta; Magnoliopsida; Lamiales; Oleaceae.